Molecule: ribosomal RNA, 118 nt
Filed under: Ostreococcus tauri
Lineage: Eukaryota; Viridiplantae; Chlorophyta; Mamiellophyceae; Mamiellales; Bathycoccaceae
Source: RNAcentral
GGUCUUGAGAACACUGCGAGUCCCUUGUAUCCAAAGUAUUUACAGCAAGAAAAACGGUCAAAUAUCGAGUUCAGGAUGGGUUCGGUUGGUAUGUAUUUCUUUGUAUCUUCUCAAGAUA